Molecule: small RNA, 94 nt
Filed under: Klebsiella pneumoniae
Lineage: Bacteria; Pseudomonadati; Pseudomonadota; Gammaproteobacteria; Enterobacterales; Enterobacteriaceae
Description: partial RtT sRNA
Rfam family: RtT RNA
About the family: This family represents a bacterial cis-regulatory element known as RtT RNA. The exact function of RtT is unknown although it is thought that it may be involved in changing the cellular response in relation to amino acid starvation.
Source: RNAcentral
ACUUCUGCCCUACAGGGAAGGAUGAGAAGCUUCGACUAAGGUUCGACUCGAGCGAAGCGAGAGAACGUUGCCGCAGGCAACGGCCCGAAGGGCG